GACGGGCGACCGAGCAACUGGCACCCGACAAAGCCAAUCAGAGGCGGAAGCAGAGCCUCCGGGGUGGGCGCCGUCUGGAGCCCGCCCCCUUAGCCUUCUGUCUCCUGGAGAAAGGCGGAAGGAAUGCGGACCUUUCUGAAGUGAUGGCCGCACUAGCCUAUCAGAGGCGAGCUCAGGAAGGCGGAGCGGAAGACUGGAGGAGUGAAACGGAUUGACGGAGCGAAUUACCAAUGAGAGCCUUGCUCCAGAUCCUGCCCUACUACCGGAGGACCCGCUCGAGAAGGGAAAUAGGGCUACGUCCAGGUGUAGGAGGUGUCAGCGUCCCAGUGACGUCAUAGGUCAGUGCACUCAGCUCUGGCCUCCCUACGUAAAUGACCAUUUUCGAGGGGCUCUGAGCGAGGUGAUUUCCAUUGCAGUUUCCAUCUCUAUAUUGGUGACUCAUAUGUCAGUUCUCUGUGCCUCAUUUUCCUCCUGUGGAUACCUCAUGGGUUCUUUUGAGGAUAGCUAGAUUAUUUCCCUGAACACAUAAAAAAUUAAUUCACCACUUUUUAUGUCAUUAAGUUUUUGUUUAACAAAUAUAUUAUGAAUCCUCACUGGUUACCAGGCACUCUCCAACAUGUCUUCCUGCCUCUCUCUGUCCCCUUACCCUGUUUUCCCCCCAUAAGAUUUAUCACAGUUGUUAGUGCCAUCGAGUCAGUCGACUCAUAGUGACCCUGUAUCACAAAAGUAAAGCUGCCCCAAUAGGGUUUCCGAAGCUGUAAUCUUUAUAGAGGAGCCCUGAUGGCGCAGUGGUUAGGCACUCAGCUGCUAACUGAAAGGUGAGCAGUUGGAACAUACCAGCUUCUCCAAGGGAGAAAGAUGUGGCAGUCGGCUUCUGUAAACUCUAGGGGGACAGUUUUACUCUGUCCUGUGGGUCUCUAUGAGUCAGUAUCAACUUGACAGCAAUGGGUUUGUUUUGGAGUUUGGUUAAAAAAAAAAUUGAAGACAUUAGUCUGCUUCACUUCUAAACAUUGGUGUAUUUAACUAGAGUUCGUAAUUUGUUUAUAGCUCAUUUUGUGUUUUGUUUUUGUUAUUUUUAGGUAAAAUUUAUAAUCAAUGAAAUGCACAAAUCUUAAGGGACAUUUGCUGAGCUUUGAUAAAGGCAUAUAACUGAGUAACCCACUUCUAUAAAGAUGUAAUGAGGUCAUACUGGAGUAGGGUAGGUCCUAAUCCAAUAUGACUGGUGUCCGUGUAAAAGAGACAGAGACACAGAGGGACAGCCCUGUGAAGAUGCACCUCCAAGCCAAGGAUCACCAAGGAUCACCAGCUGUCACCAGAAAGGAGGACAGGGCAUGGAACAUUCUCCCUCAGAGCCCUCAGAAGGUAUCAACGUGGCCGACACCCUGAUUUGCACUUCUGAUCUCAAGAACUGUGAGACACUACAUUUCUGUUCUUGUAAGCCACCCAGUUUAUGGAAUUUUGUCUCAACACCCCUAAGAAAAUAAUAUAGUGAUAUAUUAGGGGUAAAUAAAAUAUAUUCCUAACGUUCA
Loxodonta africana (African savanna elephant) is the source of this 1529-nucleotide long non-coding RNA. RefSeq lists it as uncharacterized. Lineage: Eukaryota; Metazoa; Chordata; Mammalia; Proboscidea; Elephantidae. The record is from RefSeq and is a predicted model, not a curated record. The transcript has 2 exons.